UUUGGUGGAGGAACCAAACUCAUCAUUGACUUGGGUGUGGUGAGACCCACCCUCACUGUCCUCCCUCAAUCCAAAGAGGAAGAGAAGCAGUGCAGUGCCACUCUGGUCUGUUUGGCCACCGGCGGCUUCCCCUCAAACUGGAAGCUGGGCUGGAAGGUGGGGAGCACCAGCACAUCCUCAGGUGUGUCAAGCAGCCUGGAAGUCUUGGGGACAGACGGCCACUACAGCUGGAGCAGCACCCUCAGCCUCUCUGCAGACCAGUGGAGGAAGGCGGGCUCAGUGAGCUGUGAGGCCAGUCUGAGUGGACAGAGCCCUGUCACUCAAACCCUGGACCCUGACCACUGCUCAGAGUAGAGCUUCAGCAACACUUCCUGUCUGCAAAUAAUACUGCGUUUCCUCUGUUGCAAUAUUUCUGAAAAAAAUUGAUUCUUUAUUAAUAUGCAUGCAGAUUUCACCAACCAAUCUUAUCCAUAUUAUGCUUUAAAAAUAUGCUGUUUAA
Molecule: non-coding RNA, 499 nt
Organism: Oreochromis aureus
Lineage: Eukaryota; Metazoa; Chordata; Actinopteri; Cichliformes; Cichlidae
Source: the annotation of a RefSeq genome assembly